This 256-nucleotide unclassified non-coding RNA is filed under the name Hevea brasiliensis (rubber tree). Lineage: Eukaryota; Viridiplantae; Streptophyta; Magnoliopsida; Malpighiales; Euphorbiaceae. The record is from RNAcentral.
CUCAACGCAUCGGCAUCGCCCACACUCUCACUUGCUCCCCUGCCCCUCCCGUCUCUGCCUUUUCCCCACUUUUUCACCCCCUUCCACUGCUCCACGAAAUCACAACAGCCUCCUGCCGUUCGCUCGACCUCCGGCGAAUCUCUACUCUCUCUGGCGGCAUGGAUGCGGGCGUCAGGUCAUUCCGGUCGAUACUUGACAAACCCCUAACUCAGCUCACAGAAGACGACAUUUCCCAGCUCACACGCGAAGAUUGCCG